RNAcentral lists this ribosomal RNA (497 nucleotides) under uncultured bacterium. RNAcentral describes it as "partial 16S ribosomal RNA". It matches the Rfam family "Bacterial small subunit ribosomal RNA", at positions 28 to 507 of the family's 1533-position model. The record is from RNAcentral.
GAUGAACGCUGGCGGCGUGCCUAAUACAUGCAAGUCGAGCGAACAGACGAGGAGCUUGCUCCUCUGACGUUAGCGGCGGACGGGUGAGUAACACGUGGAUAACCUACCUAUAAGACUGGGAUAACUUCGGGAAACCGGAGCUAAUACCGGAUAAAAUAUUGAACCGCAUGGUUCAAUAGUGAAAGACGGUUUUGCUGUCACUUAUAGAUGGAUCCGCGCCGCAUUAGCUAGUUGGUAAGGUAACGGCUUACCAAGGCAACGAUGCGUAGCCGACCUGAGAGGGUGAUCGGCCACACUGGAACUGAGACACGGUCCAGACUCCUACGGGAGGCAGCAGUAGGGAAUCUUCCGCAAUGGGCGAAAGCUUGACGGAGCAACGCCGCGUGAGUGAUGAAGGUCUUCGGAUCGUAAAACUCUGUUAUUAGGGAAGAACAAAUGUGUAAGUAACUAUGCACGUCUUGACGGUACCUAAUCAGAAAGCCACGGCUAACUACGUG